UUUUUGAAAGCGAAAAUACGCGCUAAGUUUCGACCUUAGUAAUGAAAUUAAAUUCUCAAAAAA
This 63-nucleotide transfer RNA is filed under the name Bulinus ugandae. RNAcentral describes it as "tRNA-Arg". The record is from RNAcentral. Lineage: Eukaryota; Metazoa; Mollusca; Gastropoda; Planorbidae.